This 496-nucleotide ribosomal RNA is filed under the name uncultured bacterium. RNAcentral's name for it is "partial 16S ribosomal RNA". It matches the Rfam family "Bacterial small subunit ribosomal RNA", at positions 29 to 507 of the family's 1533-position model. The record is from RNAcentral.
AUGAACGCUGGCGGCGUGCCUAAUACCUGCAAGUCGAGCGAACAGAUGAGGAGCUUGCUCCUCUGACGUUAGCGGCGGACGGGUGAGUAACACGUGGAUAACCUACCUAUAAGACUGGGAUAACUUCGGGAAACCGGAGCUAAUACCGGAUAAUAUAUUGAACCGCAUGGUUCAAUAGUGAAAGACGGUUUUGCUGUCACUUAUAGCUGGAUCCGCGCCGCAUUAGCUAGUUGGUAAGGUAACGGCUUACCAAGGCAACGAUGCGUAGCCGACCUGAGAGGGUGAUCGGCCACACUGGAACUGAGACACGGUCCAGACUCCUACGGGAGGCAGCAGUAGGGAAUCUUCCGCAAUGGGCGAAAGCCUGACGGAGCAACGCCGCGUGAGUGAUGAAGGUCUUCGGAUCGUAAAACUCUGUUAUUAGGGAAGAACAAAUGUGUAAGUAACUAUGCACGUCUUGACGGUACCUAAUCAGAAAGCCACGGCUAACUACGUG